This 636-nucleotide ribosomal RNA is filed under the name Rotylenchulus reniformis. Its description in RNAcentral is "SSU rRNA". It matches the Rfam family "Eukaryotic small subunit ribosomal RNA", at positions 1003 to 1664 of the family's 1831-position model. Lineage: Eukaryota; Metazoa; Nematoda; Chromadorea; Rhabditida; Hoplolaimidae. The record is from RNAcentral.
GGCGAUCAGAUACCGCCCUAGUUCUGACCGUAAACGAUGCCAACUAGCGAUCCGCCAGUCGACUCAUCGCUCUGGUGGGGAGCUUCCCGGAAACGAAAGUCUUCCGGUUCCGGGGGAAGUAUGGUUGCAAAGCUGAAACUUAAGGGAAUUGACGGAAGGGCACCACCAGGAGUGGAGCCUGCGGCUUAAUUUGACUCAACACGGGGAAACUCACCCGGCCCGGACACCGUAAGGAUUGACAGAUUGAUAGCUUUUUCAUGAUUCGGUGGAUGGUGGUGCAUGGCCGUUCUUAGUUCGUGGAGCGAUUUGUCUGGUUUAUUCCGAUAACGAGCGAGACUCUGGCCUACUAAAUAGUUGACGCAUUGCCACUGUGCGCACAACUUCUUAGAGGGAUUUUCGGUGUUUUCAACCGCACGAAAUUGAGCAAUAACAGGUCUGUGAUGCCCUUAGAUGUCCGGGGCUGCACGCGCGCUACACUGGCAAACGCAACGUGCCUGUCCUGCCCCGAAAGGAGCGGGUAAACCCCUGAAAUUUUGCCGUGAUUGGGAUCGGACAUUGCAACUAUUGUCCGUGAACGAGGAAUUCCUUGUAGGGGCGAGUCAUCAACUCGUCCCGAAUACGUCCCUGCCCUUUGUA